Paramuricea clavata is the source of this 681-nucleotide non-coding RNA. Lineage: Eukaryota; Metazoa; Cnidaria; Anthozoa; Malacalcyonacea; Plexauridae. The record is from the annotation of a GenBank genome assembly.
AAAAUCAGCGUAGCAUGCUGAAUGGCUAGCGUGCUUAAAGAAUUUUAAAAAUUAAAGAUUAAAGAUUUGGUAUGGUUUAUCAAGUCGAAUGCUUUACUAAAAUCCAAAAAUAGUACCCUAAUUAUGGUCUUCGGUUUUUCCAAAGCUUGAUACCAGUUGUGUAGCAACUUUAAUAGAGCCAGGAUUGUAUAUGAGCCCGGGAGACCACCAUAUUGUGCUGGGGAUAUGUUAGAAGAAAUGUCUUCCAUCAUCCAUUCAACUACAAAAGACUCUUGGAUCUUAGAAAAAAUACUUGUGAGGGCAAUUGGGCGUAAAGCUUCUACAGACGGCAAUGGAACAAUCUUCGGGACUGGGCAGAUAUAAUAUGCUUUCCAAAUACUUGGGAAUUCUUUCGUUGAGAAUGAGUUAUUUAUAUUGCACAUUACUGGUCCCAAAAGAUCUGCGACAGAUUUGGUCAAAGGGACCUGCAGCUUUAACUGAAGAUCUUAGGAAAAAACAAACAAGCCAUCGAGCAGCGAGUUGAUAUAGACAGUGGGAACCUAUUAACUCCCCAGCUGACAAAUGUCGAAGGUACAGAUAACGACUAGAAAAUACAUGCAUGCAGAAACCCUCGCCUUGCUGACAAAACCAUUGUAUUUUCCGAACAUGAAGUAUCUAAAGUAGUUGUCAUGGUAACACGAU